RNAcentral lists this ribosomal RNA (1372 nucleotides) under uncultured bacterium. Its description in RNAcentral is "bacterial SSU rRNA". It matches the Rfam family "Bacterial small subunit ribosomal RNA", at positions 28 to 1381 of the family's 1533-position model. The record is from RNAcentral.
GAUAAACGCUGGCGGCGUGCCUAAUACAUGCAAGUCGAGCGAACGGACGAGAAGCUUGCUUCUCUGAUGUUAGCGGCGGACGGGUGAGUAACACGUGGAUAACCUACCUAUAAGACUGGGAUAACUUCGGGAAACCGGAGCUAAUACCGGAUAAUAUUUUGAACCGCAUGGUUCAAAAGUGAAAGACGGUCUUGCUGUCACUUAUAGAUGGAUCCGCGCUGCAUUAGCUAGUUGGUAAGGUAACGGCUUACCAAGGCAACGAUGCAUAGCCGACCUGAGAGGGUGAUCGGCCACACUGGAACUGAGACACGGUCCAGACUCCUACGGGAGGCAGCAGUAGGGAAUCUUCCGCAAUGGGCGAAAGCCUGACGGAGCAACGCCGCGUGAGUGAUGAAGGUCUUCGGAUCGUAAAACUCUGUUAUUAGGGAAGAACAUAUGUGUAAGUAACUGUGCACAUCUUGACGGUACCUAAUCAGAAAGCCACGGCUAACUACGUGCCAGCAGCCGCGGUAAUACGUAGGUGGCAAGCGUUAUCCGGAAUUAUUGGGCGUAAAGCGCGCGUAGGCGGUUUUUUAAGUCUGAUGUGAAAGCCCACGGCUCAACCGUGGAGGGUCAUUGGAAACUGGAAAACUUGAGUGCAGAAGAGGAAAGUGGAAUUCCAUGUGUAGCGGUGAAAUGCGCAGAGAUAUGGAGGAACACCAGUGGCGAAGGCGACUUUCUGGUCUGUAACUGACGCUGAUGUGCGAAAGCGUGGGGAUCAAACAGGAUUAGAUACCCUGGUAGUCCACGCCGUAAACGAUGAGUGCUAAGUGUUAGGGGGUUUCCGCCCCUUAGUGCUGCAGCUAACGCAUUAAGCACUCCGCCUGGGGAGUACGACCGCAAGGUUGAAACUCAAAGGAAUUGACGGGGACCCGCACAAGCGGUGGAGCAUGUGGUUUAAUUCGAAGCAACGCGAAGAACCUUACCAAAUCUUGACAUCCUUUGACAACUCUAGAGAUAGAGCCUCCCCCUUCGGGGGACAAAGUGACAGGUGGUGCAUGGUUGUCGUCAGCUCGUGUCGUGAGAUGUUGGGUUAAGUCCCGCAACGAGCGCAACCCUUAAGCUUAGUUGCCAUCAUUAAGUUGGGCACUCUAAGUUGACUGCCGGUGACAAACCGGAGGAAGGUGGGGAUGACGUCAAAUCAUCAUGCCCCUUAUGAUUUGGGCUACACACGUGCUACAAUGGACAAUACAAAGGGCAGCGAAACCGCGAGGUCAAGCAAAUCCCAUAAAGUUGUUCUCAGUUCGGAUUGUAGUCUGCAACUCGACUACAUGAAGCUGGAAUCGCUAGUAAUCGUAGAUCAGCAUGCUACGGUGAAUACGUUCCCGGGUCU